UGCAGGCUAUAUAUUUCAAUUACAAUGGCGAUAGAUUAAAGGCCUUAGAACAUUUCCUCGAAUGUGCAAACUGACAGAAGGACACUCAAUUUUCAUAAGUUCAGUCGUUCAUUCUCUGUUUUUGUCAGGUAGAGAUCUCAUUUUAUUUAUUCUUCAGUAUAUUGAUAUCAAUUACUCUGUUCGGUCACUUGCCCUUCACUUUAUUUUUGAGUGGAAUUAAAUUUGACAUUGGGGUCCAUCACUUUUGGUGGUAAUUGGAUUCUUGAGAAUCAUAAUUUUUCAGCUCCUAUGUUGGUUUAAUAAUUGGGAAUCAUGAUAUGAAGUUAAAGGAAUGCGAAAUUAAAGCUUUUAAAUUAUGAUUUCCAUGAUUUGAUAUCUCACCAAUCAAUUUGGAAUUCCGGAAACUUUGCAAAUGAUUAUUUUAGGAGGAAAUUGCUGGAAAUGAUCGGAUAACCCAUUCCUAUUUCCAAAGUGACCUUUGACCACCUUUUUAAUUAAAAAAAUAAAUAAAAUUGAAUUUAAAGUUUAAAAUCCCAAAAUAUAAAUUGGCUUCUCACAAAACUGAAAAAAAAGGUCGAUUUCCAGUCGAUCGGAGAAAUUGCUAGUCCAUCGCCGACGAAUUACUUCUUGUUAAGGUAACCAUUAUUAUAUUGAAUAUUUGGUUGGAUUAGUGUUUAGAUUUUGGUAAAAGGUGUGUGAUUCUUUUGUGGGAGAUUUUUUCAAUAAAUUGUUGUUUAUAUGUGUAAAAUAGAGUUUAUAUUAUGUUUUAAUGGUUAGUUUUUUAAAUUUGGAAGUUUUUCUUGUCGGAAAUGAUGAUUUUUCGACGAGAAAGGCGUUAGGACGCCAGCUGGGGGUAAAACCCGACUAUUAUACAGUCGACCCACUCUUUUUUUUUUCAGCCUAAUUUUUUUUAACAUAUAAUUUAAUAAUUUAAUUUUAAAUAAUUUUUAUUGUUAGUUUUUAAUAAAUAAUAUAUUAUUUAGUCGUCGAAUUUAAAUAAAAUUGUUACGACUAAAUUUAAAUAAAAUUUUUACAUUUAAUUUUUGUUUUAAUAUUUAUUUUUAUUUACUCAUUUUUGAUAAAUAAUAAUUUUUUAGUUCAUCGAAUUGAAAUAAUUAUUUUAAUUGUGAACUUAAAUUUUAUAUUUAUUUUUAUUAUUAGUCUUUGAUAAAUAAUAAUUUAUUUAGUCGUCGAAUUUAAAUAAAUUAUUUACUUUUAAUUUUAAAUUUUAUUAAUAGUUUUGGAUGAUAUUCUUUUCGUUUAUCAAAUUUAAUUAAUGUUUUUAAUUUUAAUUUGAAAUAAUUUUUGGAAAUUUAAUAUUUAUUUUUAUUAUUAGUUUUUGAUAAAUAAUAAUUUAUUUAGUCGUCGAAUUUAAAUAAAUUAUUUACUUUUAAUUUUAUUAAUAGUUUUGGAUAAUAUUCUUUUCGUUGAUCAAAUUUAAUUAAUUUUUUAAUUAUAAAUAAUUGUUGAAAAUUUAAUUUGAAAUUUAAUAUUUAUAUUUAUUUUUAUUUUUAUUAUUAGUUUUUUAUAAAUAAUAUUAUUUUCGUUCUUCGAAUUUAAAUAUUUUUUGAACGUGAAUUGAUUAAAAAUAUAUUGAUAAUUGAGAAAAAUUAACAUUAUUGAUAAUAGGAUAAAAAAAUUUAUAUUACUGAUGAUUUUAAUUAUUAUGAAUCUGCGUCUUGCGUAUUGUAGUUACAAUUUCGUUCGCUAAAUUUUCUGUUAUUAUGCUUUAUUCUAUUAUCACUUGUACAAUGUUAUAACAUUUUGAAUUUUUAUAGGAUGAAUUAUCAUCUUGACGCAGAGUUGAGACAGAUGCCAGACAAAACUACGUGGAAUAGUAGUUUUGACAGUUUCAUUGCUGUGUUAGAGCUGCUCGAUGAUCAACGUGCUGAUAUGUUGUGUCAGUCUUUCCUAUGGCCCUUGUACCCAUUGAGAGAUCUACAGUAUUUGGGUCAGAUUAUUGAAGCACUUCUAUGUCGAUUGCUGAGUCCAGUCGACGGCGAUACCCUCCACUUCGCAAUCGGGGGUAAAGUCGCCAGUUUUUCGAUGUUCGAGUUUGCUCUGAUCACGAGAUUAAAGAUUACGGGCGAUGAAGCAGUUGGUGAUGAGAUUUAGAGAAGACAUAGAGUUCAUGACGCUUACUUCGAGGGACAGGGAACUAUGCUUCUUACAUAGUUGUUGGACACAGUCAGGAGGUGUGAUCACAUGUUAGACAGAUUGAAGUUAGGUCUGGUCCACAUUCUUGAGAGCAUGGUGUGGUGUCACCAUAAGAAGACUGCGAUCGACCUCUUCCAUCUGGAGAUCGUUGACGACAUCGAUCAUUUCGACGACUAUCCGUGGGGCUAAAGAUGUUUUGAGGACAUUGUACACGUUUUCACCAGAUCACACUUAAAGCCAAAGUGAGCUAUGCGUAAGUACGACACCUAUGGAUUGCUCCUGGCGGUGCAGGUAAAAGG
This 2456-nucleotide long non-coding RNA is filed under the name Olea europaea subsp. europaea. The record is from RNAcentral. Lineage: Eukaryota; Viridiplantae; Streptophyta; Magnoliopsida; Lamiales; Oleaceae.